UUUUUUAAAUUUAAUAAAUUUCAAUUUUAUUUAAAAAUUUAAAUAAAAAUUAUGUAAUUAUAUAAAAAUAUAUUGAUAAACUGAAAAGGAAAAUUUUAUUAAAUUUAAAAAAGUAAUUAUAUUAAACCUUUGGCAUUAGGGAUUUUUAAAAAAAAAAUAAAUUUUUAUUUUUCUCGAAAUAAAUAGAUCUAAUUUUAAUAAAUUUAAUUUGUUUAAAAAAAUUAAUAAAUUUUUAAUUAGAAGUGAAAUUCUUAUCAAAAUUUAAGAUAGCUAGUUUUAAAAAAAAAUUUAAAAUUUUUCUGUUAUAUCUAUAUAAUAUAUAUAAUAACAGGUUAUUUCUUUUGGGAUAAGCUAAAAGAAUUUUUAAUAAAAAAAAUAUUUUUUAUUUAAAAAGGAAUAAAAUUUUCCUUUUUAUUUUUAUAAAUAAUUAUAUUUCAUAUUAUUAAUUUUAAUUUUUUAAAAUUCAAAUAAAUUAAUUUUAAUUUAUUUCAAAAAUGAAAAUAUUAGUAUAAGUUUAUAUAAUAAUUUUUAUUUAAAAAUUAAUUUAUUUUUAAAAUAAAAUUAAAGAAUUCGGCAAAUUAUUUUUUUGACUGUUUAAUAAAAACAUUUCAUUUAGAUAUAAAAUUAAAUGAAAAUCCUGCUCAAUGAAUUAUUAAAUUGCUGUAGUAUUUUGACUAUACAAAGGUAUUGAAAUAAGAUUUUAAUUGAAUGCUAAGAGAAUGGAUUAACAAAAAAAUUCUUUUUUAAUUUUAAAAAUAAAAAUUAAUUUUUUUUGUGAAGAAGCAAAAAUAAAAAUUAAGGACAAGAAGACCCUAAGAAUUUUUAGUCUAAAAUUUUAGAUCUAAAAUUUUAGACUUUAAUUGGGGCGAUUAAUAAAAAUUUUGAACUUUAUUUUUAAAAAUAAAAUGAACCGUUAUUAGCGGUAAUUUGAAAAAAAUACUCUAGGGAUAACAGCGUAAUAAUUUUUGAUAGUUCUUAUAGACAAAAUAGUUUGCGACCUCGAUGUUGGAUUAGGAUUCUUAUUUAAUGAAGAAGUUAAAUAAAGAAGUUUGUUCAACUUUUAAAAUCCUACAUGAUCUGAGUUUAGACCGAUGUGAAUCAGGUUAGUUUCUAUCUUAAUUUAAUAAUAUAUUUUAUAAGUUAGUACGAAAGGAAUUCUUAUAUAAAAAUAUUUUUAUAAUGCUCAGCAGUUUUUGCAUCAAUUUUUGGAAUU
RNAcentral lists this ribosomal RNA (1213 nucleotides) under Amblyomma testudinarium. RNAcentral describes it as "16S ribosomal RNA". The record is from RNAcentral. Lineage: Eukaryota; Metazoa; Arthropoda; Arachnida; Ixodida; Ixodidae.